Molecule: long non-coding RNA, 1514 nt
Organism: Oreochromis aureus
Lineage: Eukaryota; Metazoa; Chordata; Actinopteri; Cichliformes; Cichlidae
Exons: 3
Source: RefSeq, a predicted model, not a curated record
CAGGAAUGAAGCAGCUGUGUGGUUUUCUGGAGAGUCCAGGAUGUGGACUUGAAACUCUGAGAUUGAGGAUCUGUGGUUUGUCAGAGAUCAGCUGUGAUUAUCUGGCAGCAGCGCUGAAGUCCAACUCCACCUGUCUGAGAGAGUUGGACCUGAGUGAGAACAACCUGCAGCAUUUAGGAGAAAAGCAGCUGUGUGGUUUUCUGGAGAGUCUAGGAUGUGGACUUGAAACUCUGAGAUUGGAGGACUGCAGUUUGUCAGAGAUCAGCUGUGAUUAUUUGGCAGCAGCGUUGAAGUCCAACCCCUCGUAUCCCAGAGUACUGGACCUGAGUGGAGACUACAACAACCUGCAGGAUUCAGGAGUGAAGCAGCUGUGUGUUCUUCUGGAGAAUUCACGAUGUCGAUUUGAAACUCUGAGGUCAGUCACCAUGUUUUAGUUGUGCUGAGAUGAAUAUAAUGUGACAGUUAUGCUGACACUCUGGAUUGGUAGGUCCACAGACCCCUAUACAGAUAACCUUGUUCAGCUCUUUGUAGAACUUCUGAUCCCUGAUCCUCUGAGUCUCACUCGGUAGAUAAUGCAGCCUGACAGACUUGAUGUGCAUGUCUUCCCUGGUUGUCCUGAUACAAGUAAACAUGAGUAGCCUUGUGUCAUAAACUCUGGGUGCGGCAGGCAGGAAUGGAGGAUCCAAAAUGCAGACUCUAGGAGGCAAAAAGUAAACUCAAAACAGCUUUAUUGCCGGACACAAGAAUAAAAUGAAUCAAAAUGAGGAUACAAAACAAACUAGGCAGGCUGGCAGGGAAUGAGGGAAAUGGCGGCACAGGACUAAGGGAGAUGCUGACAUAAAUACACAGAAGGAUGACUAAGGAGGUGAGAACACAAGGGGGACUCAGCUGACACAAAUUAACAUGACACCACACGGGAAGCUAAAGUAAACACACCAAACAUGGAAACAAGAGACCUUCACAAUAAAACAGGAAACAAAGGAACAUGACACAGAAGUGGAGGUAAGGCUAACGAGAGGGAGCGAGGGAACACGAAGGAGCACGAGGGAGAGGAGGCGAGAGAGACAUGACAGACUGGAACAUGGAUAAACAUGACAGGCAGGGGGGAACAGAAUGAAACACAAGGAGGGAAACAAGACAGUAGAAGUAACACAACAUAUAUAAACACAGACACACAGAGGUCAAAGACACAAGGGGAAAAUAGUAAAUAAUCAAGGAACUUAGCAGGGAAUAUAAGAAACUCAGAACAGACCAACUUAGACUUCUCCUAAAUCUGAACAUGAACUAUAACACAAAACAUCACCAAGACACUCAAACACCAGAAACUGACAAACACUGGGUCAAAAGGACACAGGACAAUGACACCUUGCAGGUCAUAUGUUAUCAGUCACACCUGUUAGUGAAGCUCUCCUCUAGACUGUAGUCCUUGUUAAACGAGGAUUGUUUUAGAAGCUGUUACGAGUUCAAAAGUAUUGGAGAUGGAUACAAGAGGAAAACCAAAAUAACAACACUGG